AUUGAACGCUAGCGGGAUGCCUUACACAUGCAAGUCGAACGGCAGCGCGGACUUCGGUCUGGCGGCGAGUGGCGAACGGGUGAGUAAUGUAUCGGAACGUGCCCAGUAGCGGGGGAUAACUACUCGAAAGAGUAGCUAAUACCGCAUACGCCCUACGGGGGAAAGGGGGGAUCGCAAGACCUCUCACUAUUGGAGCGGCCGAUAUCGGAUUAGCUAGUUGGUGAGGUAAAGGCUCACCAAGGCGACGAUCCGUAGCUGGUUUGAGAGGACGACCAGCCACACUGGGACUGAGACACGGCCCAGACUCCUACGGGAGGCAGCAGUGGGGAAUUUUGGACAAUGGGGGCAACCCUGAUCCAGCCAUUCCGCGUGUGCGAUGAAGGCCUUCGGGUUGUAAAGCACUUUUGGCAGGAAAGAAAUCGCACGGAUUAAUACUCUGUGUGGAUGACGGUACCUGCAGAAUAAGCACCGGCUAACUACGUGCCAGCAGCCGCCGCCG
RNAcentral lists this ribosomal RNA (499 nucleotides) under uncultured bacterium. Its description in RNAcentral is "partial 16S ribosomal RNA". It matches the Rfam family "Bacterial small subunit ribosomal RNA", at positions 30 to 523 of the family's 1533-position model. The record is from RNAcentral.